This 2305-nucleotide long non-coding RNA is filed under the name Homo sapiens (human). RNAcentral's name for it is "non-protein coding lnc-PDYN-1:1". Lineage: Eukaryota; Metazoa; Chordata; Mammalia; Primates; Hominidae. The record is from RNAcentral.
GAACGGAAGAUUGAACUUAGAGAAGGAGAGGGGUGAGCGUAUUUAGAUAAGGGGGCCAGUAAGACCUCCCUGAGACAUGGGUUGCUGAAUCACAAGUAGGGUCAGCAAGGCGAAGAUUUGGGGAGAAAGGUGUUCCAGGAAGAGGGCCCAGCACAAGGAGGGGAAGGCCCCAGGUGGCUAGGCCGGAGGAGAGAAAGCGCAGUAUGCAGGACUGGGGAGGGUGGGAUGGUCUCCAAGACCUGGGUAAAGAGCCUGCGUUUAUUCUGCAGUUGGGAGACCCCUAGAGGGUUUUCAGCACGGGAGGGCCAUGUCUGAUUUAUGUGUCUAAAAGGCCAGUCUGCAAGCGGAGGGUGGACUGGAGAGAGAGGAGCGUGGAAUUGGGCACCAAUGAGAAAGAUUGUUCUGGGGUUAUCCUGGUAUCUGAGGUGGGUGCAGGGAAGGUCUCCAACUCUUCAGGCCACAUCGGGUCUAGACCAUGAAGGUAACCAGGGAGGCUCCUGGGAAAAUCUGUCACCAGACUCCAUCUGGGGUGGGAGUGGAGAUGGGGGCUGCUGAUGAAGUCAGAGAAGAGGCAGCCUCCUGCCCUGGACUUCCAGAAGGCUCUGCUGUUCACUGUUCCUCAAGACACAUACACACUCACAAACCUGCUGGGGGAUUAGGAAACUGGAGAUUAGGGAAGGAUAAUAAUUGAACCACCUGCUAUUUAUAUAUAGCACCUUUGGCAAAGGCGCUCAGCAGGGCUUCCCUCACCUCUCCCCCUGGAGGGGGCCCUGACCCUUGUUCUCUGUCCACAUAAAAAUCAUCCUUGGCCAACCUCAAGGCUGAGAAGCCAUUGAGACCCACGGGCCAUGGGUAGACUGAUGUGAGGGGCAACUUGUCUGAGGCCACACAGAGAGAUUAUGGCAGAUAAUUGACAUGAAUCAGCCACCCGCACAGCAGGAGGUCUGUGCUGCCCUGCGUUAAAAUCUAACUGCCUUCACACAUGUUCACUCACGCACUCAACAGUAUUAAGCAUCUGCUAGGUGCCAGGCACUGGGAAUGCAACAGCUGGAAAACAGAUAAAAAUCUCUGCCCUCAAGAAGCUGACAUUCUAGUGGGAGGAAACGAACCGAUAAGAUAAGUAAAUUAUUUAGUUUGUCAAAUGGGACAGGUGCUACGGGGUGGGGGGAAUUAGCCAGGGAAGAGGCCCAGGAGUGCUGAUGAGAGGGAUAGAUUGCAAUUUUGAAAACGGAUCAAGGAAGGUCUCACCGAGGAGGUGAGAUGGGAAGCCAGGGGUGGUUGCAUCCCUGCUUUUGCUGCUUGACUCUUCCUCUUACUCCUAGAGGGCACAAUCUGUCAGCAAAUCCUGCCUGCUGGGCCUUCUCAUCACAACCAGGGCCAAACCACUUCUCAGCGCCUCCGCUGCUUCCGCCCUCGUCUGAGCCUCCACCGCUCUCACCUGGGCGCCCUAUUUCCACCUUGUGCCUUCUGUCGAUUCCUCACUCACCAGCCCGAGGAAUCCUUGCACAGAAGUCAGAUCACAUUCCUUCCCUGUUGUCAAGGGAAGAAGACAAAUGGGCAUGAGAAGGAGAGGAUCAGGGGCUUGGAAGCCAAGAUUUUGCCAAUUUGACUUAUGCAACUUGGGCAAAAAAAAAAAUUGAGCCUCAGUCUUUUCAUCUGUGAAAUAGGGAUAACAAACUCUGAUACGAGGGGUCAGUAGUGACAAGGAUGUGAAAGCAGCCACGAUGGCAUGGCAGGGCCUAUCUGGAGUUUGGCCUUUGCAGGGGGGUAGAUGACACCCUUGUGUGUUCUAGGUCCUUUGAGAUACAUUAUCUCACUGAAGCCUCAGCAACUCCGCGGUGUUCCCAGAGGUGAGGAAACACACUGAGAGACAGAACACGACUUGACCAGGGCCACCCUGUGGGGCACGCUGGCACCUGCACAGCCCAGCUUCACCUGGUUCCAGCCCUGCCCGCGCUCUGCUCCCCACUUCCCGUAACCCUGGGCUGGCGUCAGCAGGCAGGCCUGCCAGGAGGCUGGAGCUGCCAACGACCUAUUUUUCUGGGCAAGAAGAGCCAUUUGGAGUUAGAGGUCUCAGCUGUGAAGCCAGAACAAUAAAAAUAAAAACAGCACGGACUCCUGGGCAGCCUGGACCAGGGAACCAACUGCCCCAAGAGUUGCUGCUCACCAGGCUGGAAGGUCCCAGGUGAUACUGACGCUACUGAUUCAGGGAUCACACUUUGAGAACCGCUGAAUAGACUGCCAUUCAAGCCAAGGUGAGACUCCUUUGUAAGCCUGGCCCCAGUUUCCGUGUUGGUUAGUCUGU